GGACGACUAGCUCAAUGGCAGAGCACUGCGUUUACAUCGCAGGGGUUACAGGUUCGAGUCCUGUGCCGUCCACAA
Molecule: transfer RNA, 75 nt
Filed under: Candidatus Wildermuthbacteria bacterium RIFCSPHIGHO2_02_FULL_47_12
Lineage: Bacteria; Candidatus Wildermuthiibacteriota
Description: tRNA-Val
Rfam family: tRNA
About the family: Transfer RNA (tRNA) molecules are approximately 80 nucleotides in length. Their secondary structure includes four short double-helical elements and three loops (D, anti-codon, and T loops).
Source: RNAcentral